CUUAAAUUGAAGAGUUUGAUCAUGGCUCAGAUUGAACGCUGGCGGCAGGCCUAACACAUGCAAGUCGAGCGGCAGCGGGAAGUAGUUUACUACUUUGCCGGCGAGCGGCGGACGGGUGAGUAAUGUCUGGGGAUCUGCCUGAUGGAGGGGGAUAACUACUGGAAACGGUAG
This 171-nucleotide ribosomal RNA is filed under the name Yersinia pestis. RNAcentral's name for it is "partial 16S ribosomal RNA". It matches the Rfam family "Bacterial small subunit ribosomal RNA", at positions 1 to 162 of the family's 1533-position model. The record is from RNAcentral. Lineage: Bacteria; Pseudomonadati; Pseudomonadota; Gammaproteobacteria; Enterobacterales; Yersiniaceae.